GCCUUCGUGGUAUAAUGGUCAGCACACUCGUGCGUAUUCGAGAUGUACGAGGUUCGAGUCCUGGCGAGGGCA
RNAcentral lists this transfer RNA (72 nucleotides) under Stegodyphus mimosarum. It matches the Rfam family "tRNA". Rfam says of the family: Transfer RNA (tRNA) molecules are approximately 80 nucleotides in length. Their secondary structure includes four short double-helical elements and three loops (D, anti-codon, and T loops). Lineage: Eukaryota; Metazoa; Arthropoda; Arachnida; Araneae; Eresidae. The record is from Rfam by way of RNAcentral.